GACGAACGCUGGCGGCGUGCUUAACACAUGCAAGUCGAACGCUUAAGGCCUGGCUUUUGUUCGGUUGGGUUAGUGGCGAACGGGUGAGUAACACGUGGGUAACCUGCCCUCUUCUUUGGGAUAACUCCCGGAAACGGGUGCUAAUACUGGAUAUUCUCUUGUCUUCGCAUGGGGGUUGGUGGAAAGGUUUUUUCUUGUGGGUUAUAGGCUCUUGGCGGAUCAGCUUGGUGGUGGGUUGGUUGCCGACCAAGGCUGUGACGGGUAGGCGGCCUGAGAGGGUGAACGGUCACAUUGGGACGGAGAUACGGCCUAGACUAGUAAGGGAGGCAGCAGUGGGGAAUAUUGCCCAAUGGGCGAAAGCCUGAUGCAGCGACGCCGCGUGAGGGCUGGAGGUCGUAGGGUUGUAAAACUCUUUAGCUAAUGGUGAAGAAGCAACUGUGCGUUGUGGUGAGGGUAGUGGGUAAAGAAGCGCCGGCUAACUACGU
Molecule: ribosomal RNA, 485 nt
Filed under: uncultured bacterium
Lineage: Bacteria
Description: partial 16S ribosomal RNA
Rfam family: Bacterial small subunit ribosomal RNA
Source: RNAcentral